This 20-nucleotide small nuclear RNA is filed under the name Arabidopsis thaliana (thale cress). Its description in RNAcentral is "snRNA_03960". Lineage: Eukaryota; Viridiplantae; Streptophyta; Magnoliopsida; Brassicales; Brassicaceae. The record is from RNAcentral.
GCCAGUGGCGCGAAGCUACC